GCCUGGCUAGCUCAGUCAGAAGAGCAGGUGACUCGAUCUCUGGUUUGUGAGUUCGAACCCCAUGCUGGGUG
Molecule: transfer RNA, 71 nt
Filed under: Ailuropoda melanoleuca (giant panda)
Lineage: Eukaryota; Metazoa; Chordata; Mammalia; Carnivora; Ursidae
Rfam family: tRNA
About the family: Transfer RNA (tRNA) molecules are approximately 80 nucleotides in length. Their secondary structure includes four short double-helical elements and three loops (D, anti-codon, and T loops).
Source: Rfam by way of RNAcentral